AACGAACGCUGGCGGCAUGCCUAACACAUGCAAGUCGAACGAAGCCUUCGGGCUUAGUGGCGCACGGGUGCGUAACACGUGGGAAUCUGCCCUUCGGUUCGGAAUAACAGUUAGAAAUGACUGCUAAUACCGGAUGAUGACGUAAGUCCAAAGAUUUAUCGCCGAAGGAUGAGCCCGCGUAGGAUUAGGUAGUUGGUAGGGUAAUGGCCUACCAAGCCGACGAUCCUUAGCUGGUCUGAGAGGAUGAUCAGCCACACUGGGACUGAGACACGGCCCAGACUCCUACGGGAGGCAGCAGUGGGGAAUAUUGGACAAUGGGCGAAAGCCUGAUCCAGCAAUGCCGCGUGAGUGAUGAAGGCCUUAGGGUUGUAAAGCUCUUUUACCAGGGAUGAUAAUGACAGUACCUGGAGAAUAAGCUCCGGCUAACUCCGUGCCAGCAGCCGCGGUAAUGUACAGUGU
RNAcentral lists this ribosomal RNA (459 nucleotides) under uncultured bacterium. Its description in RNAcentral is "bacterial SSU rRNA". It matches the Rfam family "Bacterial small subunit ribosomal RNA", at positions 29 to 533 of the family's 1533-position model. The record is from RNAcentral.